Molecule: ribosomal RNA, 482 nt
Filed under: uncultured bacterium
Lineage: Bacteria
Description: partial 16S ribosomal RNA
Rfam family: Bacterial small subunit ribosomal RNA
Source: RNAcentral
AUUGAACGCUGGCGGCAUGCUUUACACAUGCAAGUCGAACGGUAACAGCACUUCGGUGGCUGACGAGUGGCGAACGGGUGAGUAAUACAUCGGAACGUGCCUAGUAGUGGGGGAUAACUACUCGAAAGAGUAGCUAAUACCGCAUGAGAUCUAAGGAUUAAAGCAGGGGACCUUCGGGCCUUGCGCUACUAGAGCGGCUGAUGGCAGAUUAGGUAGUUGGUGGGAUAAAAGCUUACCAAGCCGACGAUCUGUAGCUGGUCUGAGAGGACGACCAGCCACACUGGGACUGAGACACGGCCCAGACUCCUACGGGAGGCAGCAGUGGGGAAUUUUGGACAAUGGGCGCAAGCCUGAUCCAGCAAUGCCGCGUGCAGGAUGAAGGCCUUCGGGUUGUAAACUGCUUUUGUACGGAACGAAAAGCCCUCUUCUAAUACAGGAGGGUCAUGACGGUACCGUAAGAAUAAGCACCGGCUAACUACGUG